GACGAACGCUGGCGGCGUGCCUAAUACAUGCAAGUAGAACGCUGAAGAGAGGAGCUUGCUCUUCUUGGAUGAGUUGCGAACGGGUGAGUAACGCGUAGGUAACCUGCCUUGUAGCGGGGGAUAACUAUUGGAAACGAUAGCUAAUACCGCAUAACAAUGGAUGACACAUGUCAUUUAUUUGAAAGGGGCAAUUGCUCCACUACAAGAUGGACCUGCGUUGUAUUAGCUAGUAGGUGAGGUAACGGCUCACCUAGGCGACGAUACAUAGCCGACCUGAGAGGGUGAUCGGCCACACUGGGACUGAGACACGGCCCAGACUCCUACGGGAGGCAGCAGUAGGGAAUCUUCGGCAAUGGGGGCAACCCUGACCGAGCAACGCCGCGUGAGUGAAGAAGGUUUUCGGAUCGUAAAGCUCUGUUGUAAGUCAAGAACGAGUGUGAGAGUGGAAAGUUCACACUGUGACGGUAGCUUACCAGAAAGGGACGGCUAACUACGUGCCAGCAGCCGCGGUAAUACGUAGGUCCCGAGCGUUGUCCGGAUUUAUUGGGCGUAAAGCGAGCGCAGGCGGUUUGAUAAGUCUGAAGUUAAAGGCUGUGGCUCAACCAUAGUUCGCUUUGGAAACUGUCAAACUUGAGUGCAGAAGGGGAGAGUGGAAUUCCAUGUGUAGCGGUGAAAUGCGUAGAUAUAUGGAGGAACACCGGUGGCGAAAGCGGCUCUCUGGUCUGUAACUGACGCUGAGGCUCGAAAGCGUGGGGAGCGAACAGGAUUAGAUACCCUGGUAGUCCACGCCGUAAACGAUGAGUGCUAGGUGUUGGAUCCUUUCCGGGAUUCAGUGCCGCAGCUAACGCAUUAAGCACUCCGCCUGGGGAGUACGACCGCAAGGUUGAAACUCAAAGGAAUUGACGGGGGCCCGCACAAGCGGUGGAGCAUGUGGUUUAAUUCGAAGCAACGCGAAGAACCUUACCAGGUCUUGACAUCCCGAUGCUAUUUCUAGAGAUAGAAAGUUACUUCGGUACAUCGGUGACAGGUGGUGCAUGGUUGUCGUCAGCUCGUGUCGUGAGAUGUUGGGUUAAGUCCCGCAACGAGCGCAACCCCUAUUGUUAGUUGCCAUCAUUCAGUUGGGCACUCUAGCGAGACUGCCGGUAGUAAACCGGAGGAAGGUGGGGAUGACGUCAAAUCAUCAUGCCCCUUAUGACCUGGGCUACACACGUGCUACAAUGGUUGGUACAACGAGUUGCGAGUCGGUGACGGCAAGCUAAUCUCUUAAAGCCAAUCUCAGUUCGGAUUGUAGGCUGCAACUCGCCUACAUGAAGUCGGAAUCGCUAGUAAUCGCGGAUCAGCACGCCGCGGUGAAUACGUUCCCGGGCCU
This 1369-nucleotide ribosomal RNA is filed under the name uncultured bacterium. Its description in RNAcentral is "bacterial SSU rRNA". It matches the Rfam family "Bacterial small subunit ribosomal RNA", at positions 28 to 1381 of the family's 1533-position model. The record is from RNAcentral.